GACGAACGCUGGCGGCGUGCUUAACACAUGCAAGUCGAACGGAAAGGCCCUGCUUUUGUGGGGUGCUCGAGUGGCGAACGGGUGAGUAACACGUGAGUAACCUGCCCUUGACUUUGGGAUAACUUCAGGAAACUGGGGCUAAUACCGGAUAUGAGCUCCUGCUGCAUGGUGGGGGUUGGAAAGUUUCGGCGGUUGGGGAUGGACUCGCGGCUUAUCAGCUUGUUGGUGGGGUAGUGGCUUACCAAGGCUUUGACGGGUAGCCGGCCUGAGAGGGUGACCGGCCGAAUUGGGACUGAGAUACGGCCCAGACUCCUACGGGAGGCAGCAGUGGAGAAUAUUGCACAAUGGGCGGAAGCCUGAUGCAGCAACGACGCGUGCGGGAUGACGGCCUUCGGGUUGUAAACCGCUUUCGCCUGUGACGAAGCGUGAGUGACGGUAAUGGAUAAAGAAGAACCGGCUAACUACGUG
This 468-nucleotide ribosomal RNA is filed under the name uncultured bacterium. RNAcentral's name for it is "partial 16S ribosomal RNA". It matches the Rfam family "Bacterial small subunit ribosomal RNA", at positions 28 to 507 of the family's 1533-position model. The record is from RNAcentral.